Molecule: long non-coding RNA, 400 nt
Organism: Ctenocephalides felis (cat flea)
Lineage: Eukaryota; Metazoa; Arthropoda; Insecta; Siphonaptera; Pulicidae
Exons: 3
Source: RefSeq, a predicted model, not a curated record
GACUGAACACUUGUUAUUGAAAAAACAAGCAUGUGAUGAUAUUUUACAAUUUCUCACCAGAGUAAAUUAUUGUAAAUCAACUCUGUAUGGUUCAGUAUUGCAUGAAGCUCAAAAAUGUAUUCGACAUCUUUCACAAACAGAAAGUGAUAUAAAAUUGGCGAAUGAUUAUUUAAAUGAAGCAAAAGACAUUUUAAAAAAUGAUGUUACUGUUGUAUUAGAUGAUUAUUAAAGAUCUUCCGCAUUCUGCUUUAAUAUACAAGUGGGAUUUAGUAUUACGCAUUUGAUUCAAUGGCUGCAUCAAGUGGUCCUACACCUUCUCCAUAGUCUAAUUCAUCAUCAUAUGCAUCAUAAGUGUCGUCUAGCUCAGCUGCUCCUUCUUUUGGUUCAGGACAUUCAAGAC